Molecule: ribosomal RNA, 500 nt
Filed under: uncultured bacterium
Lineage: Bacteria
Description: partial 16S ribosomal RNA
Rfam family: Bacterial small subunit ribosomal RNA
Source: RNAcentral
AUUGAACGCUGGCGGAAUGCUUUACACAUGCAAGUCGAACGGCAGCACGGACUUCGGUCUGGUGGCGAGUGGCGAACGGGUGAGUAAUGUAUCGGAACGUGCCCAGUCGUGGGGGAUAACGUAGCGAAAGCUACGCUAAUACGGCAUACGAUCUAUGGAUGAAAGCGGGGGAUCGCAAGACCUCGCGCGAUUGGAGCGGACGAUGUCAGAUUAGGUAGUUGGUGAGGUAAAGGCUCACCAAGCAAACGAUCUGUAGCUGGUCUGAGAGGACGACCAGCCACACUGGGACUGAGACACGGCCCAGACUCCUACGGGAGGCAGCAGUGGGGAAUUUUGGACAAUGGGCGCAAGCCUGAUCCAGCCAUUCGGCGUGCAGGACGAAGGCCUUCGGGUUGUAAACUGCUUUUGUACGGAACGAAAAGGCUCUGGUUAAUACCUGGGGCUCAUGACGGUACCGUAAGAAUAAGCACCGGCUAACUACGUGCCAGCCGCCGCCGUAA